GGGGUCGACAUGGAUUUGACAGCGGGUGAAAUUGAUGAUGUAAGCAUGUAGUGCGUUGAUAUGGUGGCACUAUAAUCCCAAGGUAUCAAACAAUAAUUAACAACAAUGACUACGCAAUGGCUGCGUAAUUAGUUUAUACUAAUUAACGCUUAAUUGUUCAUGUACGAUAGUGCAUGCAACCAUUUGUCUGACUGCAACUGAAGCACAACAGGAGCAGUAUAACAGGCAUCGAAACAAAUAGUGAGGCUCGUGUGUAAGGUUUUUUAGCACACGCUAAGAUUAAAAAACUAAGUAAUUAAUAGGGUGCAUUUUCUCGAUUAGUUGCCUACAAUUAACAAAAUGAUAAACAUGUAGAAAGCGCGUUGAUUGUUCGUUUGGACGAGGGUUCGAACCCCUCCGACUCCACAA
Molecule: transfer-messenger RNA, 408 nt
Filed under: Bacteroidia
Lineage: Bacteria; Pseudomonadati; Bacteroidota
Also listed under: 1 other name
Description: JACMRI01 sp014376525 Standard tmRNA
Rfam family: transfer-messenger RNA
About the family: Bacterial tmRNA, also known as 10Sa RNA or SsrA, is named for its dual tRNA and mRNA-like properties. Its role is to liberate the mRNA from a stalled ribosome.
Source: RNAcentral